UCUGUCGAGCUUGCUCACAGGCACAUCAUAUCCAUAACACCUGUGCACUUGUCGGAUGGCUUAGUGAAGACCGCAAGGUUGGAUCUAUCCAUCUACUUUACAUAACAAUUCUGUAACAAAUGUAGUCUUAUUAUAACAUAAUAAAACUUUCAACAACGGAUCUCUUGGCUCUCGCAUCGAUGAAGAACGCAGCGAAAUGCGAUAAGUAAUGUGAAUUGCAGAAUUCAGUGAAUCAUCGAAUCUUUGAACGCACCUUGCGCUCCUUGGUAUUCCGAGGAGCAUGCCUGUUUGAGUGUCAUGAAAACCCUCAACCCUAGAUUGGUUAAAACCUUUCUUUGGUUUGGAUUUGGACGUUUGCCGAUGAUAAGUCGGCUCGUCUUAAAAGUAAUAGCUGGAUCUGUCUCGCGACAUGGUUUGACUUGGCGUAAUAAGUAUUUCGCUAAGGACAUCUUCGGAUGGCCGCGUUGCAGGACUAAAGACCGCUUUCUAAUCCAUUGAUCUUACGAUUAAUAUUCUUGACAUCUGGCCUCAAAUCAGGUAGGACUACCCGCUGAACUUAAGCAUAUCAAUAAG
RNAcentral lists this ribosomal RNA (573 nucleotides) under Naganishia albida. Its description in RNAcentral is "eukaryotic LSU rRNA". The stretch from base 145 to 298 matches the Rfam family "5.8S ribosomal RNA". The record is from RNAcentral. Lineage: Eukaryota; Fungi; Basidiomycota; Tremellomycetes; Filobasidiales; Filobasidiaceae.